Molecule: ribosomal RNA, 253 nt
Filed under: uncultured bacterium
Lineage: Bacteria
Description: partial 16S ribosomal RNA
Rfam family: Bacterial small subunit ribosomal RNA
Source: RNAcentral
UACGUAGGGGGCAAGCGUUGUCCGGAUUCAUUGGGCGUAAAGGGUGCGUAGGUGGCGCGCUAAGUCAGGUGUGAAAUUUCGGAGCUUAACUCCGAAACUGCAUUUGAUACUGGCGUGCUUGAGGACUGGAGAGGAGACUGGAAUUCAUGGUGUAGCAGUGAAAUGCGUAGAGAUCAUGAGGAAGACCAGUGGCGAAGGCGGGUCUCUGGACAGUUCCUGACACUGAGGCACGAAGGCCAGGGGAGCAAACGGG